This 879-nucleotide ribosomal RNA is filed under the name Rhodococcus sp. M_A_04/12_5_1. RNAcentral describes it as "bacterial SSU rRNA". It matches the Rfam family "Bacterial small subunit ribosomal RNA", at positions 9 to 873 of the family's 1533-position model. The record is from RNAcentral. Lineage: Bacteria; Bacillati; Actinomycetota; Actinomycetes; Mycobacteriales; Nocardiaceae.
AGAGUUUUGAUUCAUGGCUCAGGACGAACGCUGGCGGCGUGCUUUAACACAUGCAAGUCGAGCGGUAAGGCCUUUCGGGGUACACGAGCGGCGAACGGGUGAGUAACACGUGGGUGAUCUGCCCUGCACUUCGGGAUAAGCCUGGGAAACUGGGUCUAAUACCGGAUAUGACCUCCUAUCGCAUGGUGGGUGGUGGAAAGAUUUAUCGGUGCAGGAUGGGCCCGCGGCCUAUCAGCUUGUUGGUGGGGUAAUGGCCUACCAAGGCGACGACGGGUAGCCGACCUGAGAGGGUGACCGGCCACACUGGGACUGAGACACGGCCCAGACUCCUACGGGAGGCAGCAGUGGGGAAUAUUGCACAAUGGGCGAAAGCCUGAUGCAGCGACGCCGCGUGAGGGAUGACGGCCUUCGGGUUGUAAACCUCUUUCAGCAGGGACGAAGCGCAAGUGACGGUACCUGCAGAAGAAGCACCGGCUAACUACGUGCCAGCAGCCGCGGUAAUACGUAGGGUGCAAGCGUUGUCCGGAAUUACUGGGCGUAAAGAGUUCGUAGGCGGUUUGUCGCGUCGUUUGUGAAAACCAGCAGCUCAACUGCUGGCUUGCAGGCGAUACGGGCAGACUUGAGUACUGCAGGGGAGACUGGAAUUCCUGGUGUAGCGGUGAAAUGCGCAGAUAUCAGGAGGAACACCGGUGGCGAAGGCGGGUCUCUGGGCAGUAACUGACGCUGAGGAACGAAAGCGUGGGUAGCGAACAGGAUUAGAUACCCUGGUAGUCCACGCCGUAAACGGUGGGCGCUAGGUGUGGGUUCCUUCCACGGAAUCCGUGCCGUAGCUAACGCAUAAGCGUCCGCCUCGAACCAUUUGCUGACAAAAACUCCCCC